Molecule: non-coding RNA, 107 nt
Organism: Capsicum annuum
Lineage: Eukaryota; Viridiplantae; Streptophyta; Magnoliopsida; Solanales; Solanaceae
Source: Rfam
UAAUGAUUGUGAGGGAAAUUUCUGAACAUACUUUUAAAUCUCUCCCAAGCUUAGUAGAGAUUCUCUCCUUUUUUAUGUGUGAAACUCAGAAUCUCGUUUCUCAAUCG